This 524-nucleotide unclassified non-coding RNA is filed under the name Hevea brasiliensis (rubber tree). Lineage: Eukaryota; Viridiplantae; Streptophyta; Magnoliopsida; Malpighiales; Euphorbiaceae. The record is from RNAcentral.
AAUGUUAAUGGGUUAAAUAAUCCAAUUAAAAGGACUAAGAUAAUUUUGAAAAUGAGAAAACUUAAGGCUCAAGUUAUCUUCAUGCAGGAAACACACCUUUCCCAGGAAGAGCAUGAAAAGCUGAAGAAAUUUGGUUUUAGAAACACCUAUUACAGUACUUGUAAACAAAGGAACAAAAGAGGUGUGGCAAUACUUAUACAAAACUCAACUAAAUUUGAAUGUCUAAAAGAAAUCAAGGAUACAGAAGGACAAUAUAUUAUAGUGAAGGGGAAACUAGAGGAAGAGAUGGUUACGUUAAUUAAUGUAUAUGCCCCUCCAGAGAGUACUAAACAAUUCUUUAAAUCAUUAUUCCCAGUCAUGGCCUUAAAAUCUGAAGGUAUAGUGAUAUGUGCUGGUGAUUUUAAUAUGAUAAUGGAUCAUAGGGUAGACACAACAAGUAUAAAAAGAAAUAAGACACAUAUAUCUAAAUUUGUAAACAUGUCGUUGAAGGAACAUGGACUGGUUGAUGUAUGGCGUGAACUGCA